GCCUGGGUGGCUCAGUCGGUUGAGCAUCCGACUUCGGCUCAGGUGGUGAUCUCACAGUUUGUGGGAUCGAACCCCACAUCAGGCU
Molecule: transfer RNA, 85 nt
Filed under: Felis catus (domestic cat)
Lineage: Eukaryota; Metazoa; Chordata; Mammalia; Carnivora; Felidae
Rfam family: tRNA
About the family: Transfer RNA (tRNA) molecules are approximately 80 nucleotides in length. Their secondary structure includes four short double-helical elements and three loops (D, anti-codon, and T loops).
Source: Rfam by way of RNAcentral